GACAGCAGCCGCCGCGGGAAUACGAAGGGUGCAAGCGUUACUCGGAAUUACUGGGCGUAAAGCGUGCGUAGGUGGUGGUUUAAGUCCGUUGUGAAAGCCCUGGGCUCAACCUGGGAAUUGCAGUGGAUACUGGGUCACUAGAGUGUGGUAGAGGAUAGUGGAAUUUCCGGUGUAGCAGUGAAAUGCGUAGAGAUCGGAAGGAACAUCUGUGGCGAAGGCGACUAUCUGGGCCAACACUGACACUGAGGCACGAAAGCGUGGGGAGCAAACAGGAUUAGAUACCCCGGUAGUCCCUGUCUCUUAUAA
This 306-nucleotide ribosomal RNA is filed under the name uncultured bacterium. RNAcentral's name for it is "partial 16S ribosomal RNA". It matches the Rfam family "Bacterial small subunit ribosomal RNA", at positions 507 to 809 of the family's 1533-position model. The record is from RNAcentral.